UGAUACCCCGGUAGUCCAUGCCGUAAACGUUGGGCACUAGGUGUGGGGCUCAUUCCACGAGUUCCGUGCCGCAGCAAACGCAUUAAGUGCCCCGCCUGGGGAGUACGGCCGCAAGGCUAAAACUCAAAGGAAUUGACGGGGGCCCGCACAAGCGGCGGAGCAUGCGGAUUAAUUCGAUGCAACGCGAAGAACCUUACCAAGGCUUGACAUGCACGGGAAGCCACCAGAGAUGGUGGUCUCUUUGGACACUCGUGCACAGGUGGUGCAUGGUUGUCGUCAGCUCGUGUCGUGAGAUGUUGGGUUAAGUCCCGCAACGAGCGCAACCCUGUCCCAUGUUGCCAGCGGGUUAUGCCGGGGACUCAUGGGAGACUGCCGGGGUCAACUCGGAGGAAGGUGGGGAUGACGUCAAAUCAUCAUGCCCCUUAUGUCUUGGGCUUCACGCAUGCUACAAUGGCCGGUACAAAGGGCUGCGAUACCGUAAGGUGGAGCGAAUCCCAAAAAGCCGGUCUCAGUUCGGAUUGGGGUCUG
RNAcentral lists this ribosomal RNA (528 nucleotides) under uncultured bacterium. Its description in RNAcentral is "bacterial SSU rRNA". It matches the Rfam family "Bacterial small subunit ribosomal RNA", at positions 780 to 1307 of the family's 1533-position model. The record is from RNAcentral.